AGGGAAUGCCGUUUUGACCUUCCUCUUUCUCUCUCUCUAGAUCCCAGCUAAAGGGACCGAACCCCAGAUGACACUUCGCGGUUGCCUUAAAAUCCACUCCAACUCCUCCUUCGUAGAAAACCCUAAACCUCUCCCUCUUUGACUUAUAUGGAUUAACAUUCGAUUUGCAUUUUGAAUUGCAAAAAUUAGGAGGUCUAUUUACGGGAAAAUCGUCAAAACUCUUUAAACUUUCUCGCUAUUUUCAACUCUAAGCCAUGGACGCACAGCGUGCUUUGCUUGACGAACUCAUGGGAACGGCUCGUAAUUUAACGGAGGAAGAGAAAAAGGGUUACAGGGAAAUUCGAUGGGAUGAUAAAGAAGUUUGUGGAUUUUAUAUGGUUCGCUUUUGUCCUCACGACCUCUUCGUCAACACUCGCAGUGAUCUCGGACCAUGCCCUAGAGUUCAUGACCAAAAGUUGAAAGAAAGUUUUGAGAAGUCCCCGAGACACGAUGCUUAUGUGCCCAAAUUUGAAGCUGAACUGGCUCAGUUUUGUGAGAAAUUGGUGAUGGAUCUCGACAGAAGGGUUAGGCGUGGACGAGAACGCCUUGCUCAAGAGGUGGAACCAGCGCCACCUGCUCCAGUAUCUGCAGAAAAGUCUGAGCAGCUAUCUGUGUUGGAGGAAAAAAUAAAAAACUUGCUGGAACAAGUGGAAAACCUUGGUGAAUCCGGAAAGGUGGAUGAAGCUGAGGCACUUAUGAGAAAGGUGGAGGUGCUUAAUGCUGAGAAGACAGCCUUGACUCAACUACCUCAAAACGAUAAAGUAUUGAUGCUUGCGCAGGAGAAAAAAAUGGCUCUAUGUGAGGUUUGUGGAUCUUUUCUAGUGGCCAAUGAUGCUGCUGAGAGGACUCAGUCCCAUGUUACAGGAAAGCAACAUAUUGGUUAUGGAAUGGUUCGGGAUUUCAUUUCUGAGUUCAAGGCAGCUAAGGAGAAAGCCAGGGAAGAGGAAAGAUUAGCAAGAGAGAAAGAAGUUGAAGAACGGAGAAAGCAGAGGGAGAAGGAAUAUGAGAGUAGGAGGAGGAGAAGUGAUUCAGGUGACACGGACAAGUAUCGUGAUCGAGACAAGGAUCGGGACCGAUAUAGGGAACGUGAUUUGGAUCGUGAAAGGUCUCGAGAAUGGAAUGGUAGAGGUAGUAGGGAUGGAGAGAGGGAUUGGAGGUACAAGAAUGGAAGAGAUGGAGGCAGAGAUAGGCACAAGGAGCACAGCAGGUCACGUUCCCCUGGUAGACAUAGUCACAGGAGGUCCUCAAGAAGUCCAAGUCGACGAUAUUAGUGCAUUCUGUACAUAAAUGUUUUGGCUUUGAAAGCCAAUGAGGUAGACCUCUUAUUUUUUUCUAGUUUACAAACAUGUGCUUUUGGAGUAGUGCUAAAUUUUGUCAUCAUGGGUGAAACUUGUUUCUUCAUAUCUCACAGCUUUUUUGAGACUAUACCCACUCCCUUUGAUCAAAAUUACUAGAGAAGAAAAGGGUUGAGUCAAGCAGCUGAGAAAGAUGACCUCUUUCCAAUUAUGAGGCUGCUGUUGUGGAAUAAUCCAGGGAAAAUCUUAGACAAAUUGAGAAAGUACCUUUAAACAUAUGUGGUUUUGAAGGUUUUUUAGUACCCUAAGCACACAUGUUUUUUGUGCUACUGUAAAUUUAUACAAUACACUUAGGUUAGAGUAUUCUUUCCUUUUGUUUAAUUGUUUUGUAAAUGACUAGAUUCAGUUGGGGUUUCCUGUUUUUGUUCUUUGUGAUGGAUUUGUAUGAUCACAAAUUUUCAAUUUGUUUGGAAGGCAUUGUUCUUGUAGU
Molecule: non-coding RNA, 1824 nt
Organism: Theobroma umbraticum
Lineage: Eukaryota; Viridiplantae; Streptophyta; Magnoliopsida; Malvales; Malvaceae
Source: RefSeq, a predicted model, not a curated record